AUCUGGUGCAGAAAAAAUUGGAACCGUUUAUGUUAUUGUGUAUUUUUUUUUGGUGUAUUAAGUUGUUAUUAUGUUAUUAUGAAAUUAAUUUUUCAUCUUCAAUUUCGACGACCCUAGCACAUUAAUAUAUAUAUACCAUACCAUACCAUUUAUCUUUAUUAAUACAAAAAGGGUAAUUAUUACUGAUAAAGUGUUUCCAGAUAACACAAUAUAUGAGCUAAACUCUCCCUUUUGGUACCAAUACCUAAAACGUCAAAGAUUUACUUAACAAUUACCCUCAUUGUGUUGACAUUUAAAAUCAUAUGAAUAUCAUUUUUUUAACACUGGAGGUUUUGUUCUUAUUUUGGUUCAAGUAUCUUGGUACAUUCCAGGAACGCAUGAAAGUUUAUAACAGAGGCACUUUACCAAAAAUUAUUAACUCAUAGCAUGAGAUCUGUAGUGUACUAUAGAAGAGGGGCGAAAAGUACCAGAGGGACAUUCAAACUCGUAGGAUAUGCUGCAUGUUGAAAAAUCUCACCUAUGACAUCCUCAAACAAUACCAAAUAUGUUUAAGUGUUUUGAAAGACUGGACAGCCA
RNAcentral lists this long non-coding RNA (576 nucleotides) under Mytilus galloprovincialis (Mediterranean mussel). Lineage: Eukaryota; Metazoa; Mollusca; Bivalvia; Mytilida; Mytilidae. The record is from RNAcentral.